This 145-nucleotide ribosomal RNA is filed under the name uncultured Vibrio sp. Its description in RNAcentral is "partial 16S ribosomal RNA". It matches the Rfam family "Bacterial small subunit ribosomal RNA", at positions 382 to 519 of the family's 1533-position model. The record is from RNAcentral. Lineage: Bacteria; Pseudomonadati; Pseudomonadota; Gammaproteobacteria; Vibrionales; Vibrionaceae.
CCUGAUGCAGCCAUGCCGCGUGUGUGAAGAAGGCCUUCGGGUUGUAAAGCACUUUCAGUUGUGAGGAAGGUGGUGUUGUGAAUAGCAGCAUCAUUUGACGUUAGCAACAGAAGAAGCACCGGCUAACUCCGUGCCAGCAGCCGCG